This 1536-nucleotide ribosomal RNA is filed under the name Bacteroides ovatus. RNAcentral's name for it is "bacterial SSU rRNA". It matches the Rfam family "Bacterial small subunit ribosomal RNA". The record is from RNAcentral. Lineage: Bacteria; Pseudomonadati; Bacteroidota; Bacteroidia; Bacteroidales; Bacteroidaceae.
CUUUUACAAUGAAGAGUUUGAUCCUGGCUCAGGAUGAACGCUAGCUACAGGCUUAACACAUGCAAGUCGAGGGGCAGCAUUUUAGUUUGCUUGCAAACUGAAGAUGGCGACCGGCGCACGGGUGAGUAACACGUAUCCAACCUGCCGAUAACUCCGGAAUAGCCUUUCGAAAGAAAGAUUAAUACCGGAUAGCAUACGAAUAUCGCAUGAUAUUUUUAUUAAAGAAUUUCGGUUAUCGAUGGGGAUGCGUUCCAUUAGUUUGUUGGCGGGGUAACGGCCCACCAAGACUACGAUGGAUAGGGGUUCUGAGAGGAAGGUCCCCCACAUUGGAACUGAGACACGGUCCAAACUCCUACGGGAGGCAGCAGUGAGGAAUAUUGGUCAAUGGGCGAGAGCCUGAACCAGCCAAGUAGCGUGAAGGAUGAAGGCUCUAUGGGUCGUAAACUUCUUUUAUAUGGGAAUAAAGUUUUCCACGUGUGGAAUUUUGUAUGUACCAUAUGAAUAAGGAUCGGCUAACUCCGUGCCAGCAGCCGCGGUAAUACGGAGGAUCCGAGCGUUAUCCGGAUUUAUUGGGUUUAAAGGGAGCGUAGGUGGAUUGUUAAGUCAGUUGUGAAAGUUUGCGGCUCAACCGUAAAAUUGCAGUUGAAACUGGCAGUCUUGAGUACAGUAGAGGUGGGCGGAAUUCGUGGUGUAGCGGUGAAAUGCUUAGAUAUCACGAAGAACUCCGAUUGCGAAGGCAGCUCACUAGACUGUCACUGACACUGAUGCUCGAAAGUGUGGGUAUCAAACAGGAUUAGAUACCCUGGUAGUCCACACAGUAAACGAUGAAUACUCGCUGUUUGCGAUAUACAGUAAGCGGCCAAGCGAAAGCAUUAAGUAUUCCACCUGGGGAGUACGCCGGCAACGGUGAAACUCAAAGGAAUUGACGGGGGCCCGCACAAGCGGAGGAACAUGUGGUUUAAUUCGAUGAUACGCGAGGAACCUUACCCGGGCUUAAAUUGCAACAGAAUAUAUUGGAAACAGUAUAGCCGUAAGGCUGUUGUGAAGGUGCUGCAUGGUUGUCGUCAGCUCGUGCCGUGAGGUGUCGGCUUAAGUGCCAUAACGAGCGCAACCCUUAUCUUUAGUUACUAACAGGUCAUGCUGAGGACUCUAGAGAGACUGCCGUCGUAAGAUGUGAGGAAGGUGGGGAUGACGUCAAAUCAGCACGGCCCUUACGUCCGGGGCUACACACGUGUUACAAUGGGGGGUACAGAAGGCGGCUACACGGUGACGUGAUGCUAAUCCCAAAAACCUCUCUCAGUUCGGAUCGAAGUCUGCAACCCGACUUCGUGAAGCUGGAUUCGCUAGUAAUCGCGCAUCAGCCAUGGCGCGGUGAAUACGUUCCCGGGCCUUGUACACACCGCCCGUCAAGCCAUGAAAGCCGGGGGUACCUGAAGUACGUAACCGCAAGGAGCGUCCUAGGGUAAAACUGGUAAUUGGGGCUAAGUCGUAACAAGGUAGCCGUACCGGAAGGUGCGGCUGGAACACCUCCUUUCU